ACCGAGUCCGUCGGAGGUCAGUUUAACAGAACCAGACGUCGGUCGGGCAAUGGUUAAACUAAUUAUUGAAGUCGGUUAAUCAUUGAAUCGGUUAAAACCGUCCAAUUAACCAACCGGCAAAAAAAAAUUGCCCCCAAUAAUCCCAACCCAAACGACUUCAUCAGUUAUCACCAUCCUAACUAUGUCAAACUCAAAGGCUGAAAUUGCGAAACACCUAAAAUCUGAAAUCUCCUUUCCACUAAUUUCCCCCCUUUCUUCUCACAUUUAGGUCAAAGUGAACAAUUGAUUCGGCGAGGGCGAGGGCGGAGCUAGAUCUAUCUCGGCGACUUGGUGCUCGGCGAUGGCUCGGACGGCGCUGGAAAUCAACGAUGUGAGAGAGGAGAGGAGAUAGGAGGUUUGGCAUGACGGCGACAUAUAAUAGUGGAUUGAAUACAGCCGAUCGAGGAAUCGAAGAGGAGGAUACCACCAUACGAGGCUCCGACGCCGGAUUCGAAAGGAGGCUGCAACGGAGAUCGCCGAUUUAACGAAGGAGAGCAGUGGCGACGGAUUCUAUUCAGGUCUCCGUUUCGAGGACCCAGGUGGAGUUGGCUCGCUAGAUUACGAGGACCCAGGUGGAGUUGGCUCGCCGGAUUUCGAGGACCUAGGUGGGAGUUGGAGGCCUACAGAAGACGGAAGACGUGGUGGCGCCGGCCUGGAAUCAGGGUCGGCCGGCGUAUGGAACCAACACAGAGAAGAAGAAGAGUCUCUGGUGAUAUUAUUAUUAGGGAUUAUGGUCAAAAUGGCUCUUAUAUAAGUUAACAAUUGAGUUCUCUUAUUAUUAUUUUUUUUAAUCAAAUUCUUAUAUUUUUUCAAGUAAUUAAGUAAGCCUUUUUU
Molecule: long non-coding RNA, 873 nt
Filed under: Linum usitatissimum (flax)
Lineage: Eukaryota; Viridiplantae; Streptophyta; Magnoliopsida; Malpighiales; Linaceae
Description: long non-coding RNA (LUSI_LNC003516)
Source: RNAcentral